CGUAGGGGCAAGCGUUGUCCGGAAUUAUUGGGCGUAAAGGGCGCGUAGGCGGAGAGACGUGUCAUGUGUGAAAACCACAGGCUCAACCUGUGAUUGCACAUGAAACUGUCUCCCUUGAGUGCAGGAGAGGAAAGCGGAAUUCCCAGUGUAGCGGUGAAAUGCGUAGAUAUUGGGAGGAACACCAGUGGCGAAGGCGGCUUUCUGGACUGUAACUGACGCUGAGGCGCGAGAGCGUGGGGAGCAAACAGGAUUAGAUACCCUGGUAGUCCACGCCGUAAACGAUGGAUACUAGGUGUAGGUGCCGAUAGGCAUCUGUGCCGCAGCGAACGCAAUAAGUAUCCCGCCUGGGGAGUACGGCCGCAAGGUUG
RNAcentral lists this ribosomal RNA (368 nucleotides) under uncultured organism. RNAcentral describes it as "bacterial SSU rRNA". It matches the Rfam family "Bacterial small subunit ribosomal RNA", at positions 526 to 896 of the family's 1533-position model. The record is from RNAcentral.